ACACUCCUGCGGGAGGCAGCAGUGGGGAAUAUUGCACAAUGGGCGCAAGCCUGAUGCAGCCAUGCCGCGUGUAUGAAGAAGGCCUUCGGGUUGUAAAGUACUUUCAGCGGGGAGGAAGGCAAUACGGUUAAUAACCGUGUUGAUUGACGUUACCCGCAGAAGAAGCACCGGCUAACUCCGUGCCAGCAGCCGCGGUAAUACGGAGGGUGCAAGCGUUAAUCGGAAUUACUGGGCGUAAAGCGCACGCAGGCGGUCUGUCAAGUCGGAUGUGAAAUCCCCGGGCUCAACCUGGGAACUGCAUUCGAAACUGGCAGGCUUGAGUCUUGUAGAGGGGGGUAGAAUUCCAGGUGUAGCGGUGAAAUGCGUAGAGAUCUGGAGGAAUACCGGUGGCGAAGGCGGCCCCCUGGACAAAGACUGACGCUCAGGUGCGAAAGCGUGGGGAGCAAACAGGAUUAGAAACCCUGGUAGUCCCAUGA
RNAcentral lists this ribosomal RNA (476 nucleotides) under uncultured organism. RNAcentral's name for it is "partial 16S ribosomal RNA". It matches the Rfam family "Bacterial small subunit ribosomal RNA", at positions 333 to 800 of the family's 1533-position model. The record is from RNAcentral.